AAGAUUUAAACCAUAUCGUACGAUCGAAAAAUAAAAAGUUACGUACAUAAUUCUAGAUGGUCAAAAAAUGCCAUACAUAAAUAAAAUACUAAUAAAUGUCAAAAUUCCAUACAACUGAGACCAAUAAAGUAGCAAGUUCGUUAAAAUAAAAUAUACCAUAAUACUACUACUAUAUACUAAGACAUUAUUGUGUAUGUCUCACUACCUCUCCUCUACCUCCCCUGCCUCCUCAACUAUCGAUCUCAUUCGUCCUCUGACG
Molecule: long non-coding RNA, 259 nt
Filed under: Lathyrus oleraceus (garden pea)
Lineage: Eukaryota; Viridiplantae; Streptophyta; Magnoliopsida; Fabales; Fabaceae
Description: Pisum sativum (pea) long non-coding RNA (PSAT_LNC013772)
Source: RNAcentral